UACGUAGGGUGCGAGCGUUAAUCGGAAUUACUGGGCGUAAAGUGUGCGCAGGCGGCCGCGCAAGUCGAGUGUGAAAGCCCCGGGCUUAACUUGGGAAUUGCGCUCGAAACUACGUGGCUGGAGUGUGGCAGAGGAAGGUGGAAUUCCACGUGUAGCGGUGAAAUGCGUAGAGAUGUGGAGGAACACCGAUGGCGAAGGCAGCCUUCUGGGCCAACACUGACGCUCAUGCACGAAAGCGUGGGGAGCAAACAGG
This 253-nucleotide ribosomal RNA is filed under the name uncultured bacterium. Its description in RNAcentral is "partial 16S ribosomal RNA". It matches the Rfam family "Bacterial small subunit ribosomal RNA", at positions 524 to 776 of the family's 1533-position model. The record is from RNAcentral.